RNAcentral lists this ribosomal RNA (492 nucleotides) under uncultured bacterium. RNAcentral describes it as "partial 16S ribosomal RNA". It matches the Rfam family "Bacterial small subunit ribosomal RNA", at positions 29 to 507 of the family's 1533-position model. The record is from RNAcentral.
AGUGAACGCUGGCGGCAGGCCUAACACAUGCAAGUCGAACGGCAGCACAGUAAGAGCUCGCUCCUACGGUUGGCGAGUGGCGGACGGGUGAUGCAUACAUCGCAAUCUACUUUUUCGUGGGGGAUUACGUAGGGCAAUUUAUGCUACCACCGCAUACGAUCUACGGCUGAAAGCAGGGGAUCUUCGCACCCUUCCCGAUUGAUUUAGCCGAUGUCGGAUUAGCUAGUUGGCGGGGUAAAGGCCCACCAAGGCGACGAUCCGUAGCUGGUCUGAGAGGAUGAUCAGCCACACUGGAACUGAGACACGGUCCAGACUCCUACGGGAGGCAGCAGUGGGGAAUAUUGGACAAUGGGCGCAAGCCUGAUCCAGCCAUACCGCGUGGGUGAAGAAGGCCUUCGGGUUGUAAAGCCCUUUUGUUGGGAAAGAAAAGCAGCAGGUUAAUACCCCGCUGUUCUGACGGUACCCAAAGAAUAAGCACCGGCUAACUUCGUG